Molecule: small nucleolar RNA, 198 nt
Organism: Callithrix jacchus (white-tufted-ear marmoset)
Lineage: Eukaryota; Metazoa; Chordata; Mammalia; Primates; Cebidae
Gene: U3
Rfam family: Small nucleolar RNA U3
About the family: Small nucleolar RNAs (snoRNAs) are involved in the processing and modification of rRNA in the nucleolus. There are two main classes of snoRNAs: the box C/D class, and the box H/ACA class.
Source: Ensembl
AAUAGUAUCCUUUCAGGGAUGAUUUCUGUAGUUCAUCACUGGAGAAGUUUCUCUGGAUGUGCAGAAACCAUGAAGAGAGGAGCAGCAUCCUCCUGAGUGUGAAGCUGGGUCCGCGUGUUGCUUCGCUGCAACUGCCGUUUGCCACUGAUGAUUGUCUUUCUCUUCCUUUGGGAGAGUAAGAGGGAAGUUUUGCUCUUA